CAGUAGCCGCGGUAAUGCGUAGGGUGCGAGCGUUAAUCGGAAUUACUGGGCGUAAAGCGUGCGCAGGCGGUUGUGUAAGACAGGUGUGAAAUCCCCCGGGCUUAACCUGGGAACUGCGCUUGUGACUGCACAGCUAGAGUAUGGCAGAGGGGGGUGGAAUUCCACGUGUAGCAGUGAAAUGCGUAGAGAUGUGGAGGAACACCGAUGGCGAAGGCAGCCCCCUGGGCCAAUACUGACGCUCAUGCACGAAAGCGUGGGGAGCGAACAGGAUUAGAUACCCCAGUAGUCCCUGUCUCUUAUA
RNAcentral lists this ribosomal RNA (301 nucleotides) under uncultured bacterium. RNAcentral's name for it is "partial 16S ribosomal RNA". It matches the Rfam family "Bacterial small subunit ribosomal RNA", at positions 509 to 808 of the family's 1533-position model. The record is from RNAcentral.